CAACCUGCCCACCACUUGGGGAUAACCUUGCGAAAGUAAGACUAAUACCCAAUGACGUCUCUAGAAGACAUCUGAAGGAGAUUAAAGAUUUAUCGGUGAUGGAUGGGGAUGCGUCUGAUUAGCUUGUUGGCGGGGUAACGGCCCACCAAGGCAACGAUCAGUAGGGGUUCUGAGAGGAAGGUCCCCCACAUUGGAACUGAGACACGGUCCAAACUCCUACGGGAGGCAGCAGUGAGGAAUAUUGGUCAAUGGGCGAGAGCCUGAACCAGCCAAGUAGCGUGCAGGAUGACGGCCCUAUGGGUUGUAAACUGCUUUUAUAAGGGAAUAAAGUGAGCCUCGUGAGGCUUUUUGCAUGUACCUUAUGAAUAAGGACCGGCUAAUUCCGUGCCAGCAGCCGCGGUAAUACGGAAGGUCCGGGCGUUAUCCGGAUUUAUUGGGUUUAAAGGGAGCGUAGGCCGGAGAUUAAGCGUGUUGUGAAAUGUAGACGCUCAACGUCUGCACUGCAGCGCGAACUGGUUUCCUUGAGUACGCACAAAGUGGGCGGAAUUCGUGGUGUAGCGGUGAAAUGCUUAGAUAUCACGAAGAACUCCGAUUG
This 595-nucleotide ribosomal RNA is filed under the name uncultured Bacteroidota bacterium. RNAcentral's name for it is "bacterial SSU rRNA". It matches the Rfam family "Bacterial small subunit ribosomal RNA", at positions 122 to 715 of the family's 1533-position model. The record is from RNAcentral. Lineage: Bacteria; Pseudomonadati; Bacteroidota.